GCGCCAGCCGCGAAUCGGAUCUCUAUGGAGAUGGCCUAGCGAUAUCCCUGAGCUGAGAGCAUCACCCUGUCCCCGAAUCCUUCUUUCCUCUCUGUUUUGUUUUUCAUUCCCCUCCCUCUCUCCCCUCCCCCUCCAGUCCACGACGACUGGCUGUUGACCCUGUUCAGGCCUCGGUGAAGGCUUUUGGUUACUCCCCUUCCCACCCCAUCCCUUAAUUUUAUUCUUUUGAAGAGUGCAUUUCAAGCUGCCAAGGUGAAGAGAGGGAUUACAGAAAGGAGAACACCUUAUUUCAGGUCUCAAAAAGCGAUUCUGUCCCCAUCUUACUUUCUGGUAGGCUCCUAUUUGCUUCAACACUUUGACUUGUAGGCAUAUUCUCAGUUUGGGUGUGGUGGCGUGUACCUGUGGCCCUGGCUACUCAGAAGGCUGAAGAAGGAGGAUCCCUUGAGCCUGAGAGUUUGAAGCACAAGAACCAUCAAUCAGCACAGAAGACUUCUGUGACCCCAAACUAUGUGGGGAUUUCUCCCUAGCAACAAGCAAGCAAUCAGUUUGGCAACAAACACUGACUGGAUGUCUUCCAAUUCAAUUCCAACACUAUCUACCUGGAAAUAGUGUCUGAUCCCACAGGGUAAGGGCUCAGCCCCCCAAAGAUUGUCCUCUUUCCCUCUCCCAACACUGCUAGACACCAGUCACAGGUCUGGGGCCUCUGGAACUUCUGACAACUGGCUUCAAGUUGGGGUUCCCACAAUCCCUCUUGGGGUUCAAUUAAUUUGCUAUAGUGACUCACAGAACUCAGGGAAACAUGUUUACCAAUUUAUUUUAUUACAAAGGAUACAGAUGAAGAGAUGCUCAGGGUGAGGUAUGGGGGAAGGGGCACAGAACUCCCAUGCCCUCCCUGGGCGAGCUGCCCUCCAGGAACUUGCAUGUGUUCAGCUAUCCAGAAGCUCUCUAAAUCCAGUCAUCCUGGCUUUUUAUAGAAGCUUCAUGACGUUAGCAUUCCUUCCCCCAGGGUAUGGGAUGGGACCCUCUCUGGAAUGGUGGUCUUAUGACCCACAAUCAGAUUACAGACCUGCCUUGGGGCAGGUGAAAGGAACACUGGAGAAAGUCAGAGAGGCCUAACAUACCAACAUUGUAACAAAAGACUGUAACAAGGACUCUGGGAGUUAUGAGCCAGGAAUCGUAGAUGGAAACCUAUACAUAUGUGUGUAUUUAUAUCUAUUACCACAUCAAGGAAAGGUUUCACACACUGGUAUGAAACUGGAAAUAAUUAACAGGAGAAAACUUGGAAAGUUUGCAAGUAUGUGGAAUUAACACUCCUGAACAACCAAUGGGUCAAAGAAGAAAUCAGAAAUAUCUUAAGACAAAUGAAAAUGGAAACACAACAUACCGAAAUUUAUGGGAUGUGGCUAGGUGCAGUGGCUCAUGCCUGUAAUCUCAGCAUUUUGGGAGGCCAAGACUGGCACAUCACUCGAGGUCAGGAGUUCAAGACUAGCCUGGCCAACAUGGUGAAACCCCCAUCUCUACUAAAAAUACAAAAAGUAGCCUGUACUAAAAAUCUGUACUAAAAAUAUAAAACAAUUAGCUGGGCGUGGUGGCGUAUGUCUGUAAUCUCAGCUACUCAGGAGGCUGAGACAGGAGGAUUGCUUGAAACCGGGAGGCAGAGGUUGCAGUGUGCCAAGAUCGCGCCUCUCCACUCCAGGCUGGGCGACAAAGCAAGACUUCGUCUCAAUCAAUCAAUCAAUCAAUGAGAGUGGAUGCAAUAUUAUCCCUAUAAUAAUAUUCUCAGUACCUUGCAUUCAUAUAUGCUUUUAUUACUUUGGCAAGCAAGGAACACUGGGUAUUGCACAUAACUUGAAGCCUGUUUAUCUCAGUUAAGUUGCUGCCAGUAAUCUUGGUCACCUUUCAGGAGUGUUACAGAUGAACAUCACCCAUUCUCUAACUUUAAUUUUUCUAAAUUAAAUGAAUUAUGAAAUAUAGUUGACCCUUGAACAAUGUGGAGGUUAGGGGUCAUCAACACAUCCCUCACUGCACAGUCAAAAAUCCACGUAUAACUUUUGGCUUCCCAAACACUUAACUACUAAUAGCCUACUGUUGACUUUACUGAUAAACCAUCUAUUAACACAUAUUUUGUAUGUUAUAUGUAUUAUAUGCUGUAUUUUUUAACAAUAAAGCAAGAAAAAAGGAAAUGGGCCGAGUGUGAUGGCUCACACCUGUUACCCCAACACUUUGGGAGGCUAAGGCGGGAGGAUUGCUUUAGGCCAGGAGUUCGAGAACAGCCUGGGCAAAAUAGUAAGAGUCCGUCUCUUAAAAAAAAGGUAAAAAAAAAAAUUUUUUUUUUUUGAAACAAGGUCUCGCUCUGUCACCCAGGCUGGAGUACAGUGGCACGAUCUCACCACAUGGCUCACCACAGCCUCAACCUCCUGGACUCAAGUGAUCCUCCCACCUCAGCCUCCCAAGUAGCUGGGACUACAGAUGCACGCCACUACACCCAGCUAAUUUUUAUUUUAUUUUAUUUUUUUCGUAGAGACAGGGUCUCACUAUGUUACUCAGGCUAG
Molecule: long non-coding RNA, 2552 nt
Filed under: Pan troglodytes (chimpanzee)
Lineage: Eukaryota; Metazoa; Chordata; Mammalia; Primates; Hominidae
Description: long non-coding RNA NONPTRT002967
Source: RNAcentral